GUCUGGGAAGAUACCUGGGGGUUGUAACCGGGGUCUCAGUGGCCUUUGUCCUGCCGCUCGUCCUCCUCCUCCAAUGUCGGCGUCAGAGCAAACACAGGACAUUGGCCCAGAGAGAGGCUGAUUUCCAACACCCUGCAGGGGCCGUGGGACCAGAGCCCAAGAACAGGGGUCUGCUGAGGAGGUCCAGCCCAGCUGCUGACAUCCAAGAAGAAAACCUCA
Molecule: long non-coding RNA, 219 nt
Filed under: Homo sapiens (human)
Lineage: Eukaryota; Metazoa; Chordata; Mammalia; Primates; Hominidae
Description: non-protein coding lnc-LILRB5-1:2
Source: RNAcentral